RNAcentral lists this ribosomal RNA (409 nucleotides) under uncultured Planctomycetales bacterium. RNAcentral's name for it is "bacterial SSU rRNA". It matches the Rfam family "Bacterial small subunit ribosomal RNA", at positions 353 to 772 of the family's 1533-position model. The record is from RNAcentral. Lineage: Bacteria; Pseudomonadati; Planctomycetota; Planctomycetia; Planctomycetales.
AGUCGAGGAUCUUCGGCAAUGGGCGAAAGCCUGACCGAGCGACGCCGCGUGUGCGAUGAAGGCCUUCGGGUUGUAAAGCACUGUCGGGGGGGAGAAAAGGGAAACCGUGAUCGACCCCCGGAGGAAGCACGGGCUAAGUUCGUGCCAGCAGCCGCGGUAAGACGAACCGUGCGAACGUUGUUCGGAAUCAUUGGGCUUAAAGGGCGCGUAGGCGGGCCGUCAAGUCAGGGGUGAAAGCCCCCAGCUCAACUGGGGAAGUGCCUCUGAUACUGACGGCCUCGAGGGAGGUAGGGGCGUGCGGAACUUCCGGUGGAGCGGUGAAAUGCGUAGAUAUCGGAAGGAACACCGGUGGCGAAAGCGGCGCGCUGGACCUCUUCUGACGCUGAGGCGCGAAAGCCAGGGGAGCAAA